AACGCACCUUGCGCUCCUUGGUAUUCCGAGGAGCAUGCCUGUUUGAGUGUCAUUAAUAUAUAUCAACCCUUCACUUGUUGAAUGGCUUGGAUGUGGGGGUUUGCUGGUCUCUUACAUAGGGUUCAGCUCUCCUGAAAUGCAUUAGCAGAACAAACCUGUUCAUUGGUGUGAUAACUAUCUACGCUUUUGAAUGUAAAGGGGACAGUUCAGCUUUCUAACCGUCUUUGGACAAUCUAUCAUUUAUGUGACCUCAAAUCAGGUAGGACUACCCGCUGAACUUAA
Molecule: unclassified non-coding RNA, 282 nt
Filed under: uncultured Cortinarius
Lineage: Eukaryota; Fungi; Basidiomycota; Agaricomycetes; Agaricales; Cortinariaceae
Description: sequence contains ITS2
Rfam family: 5.8S ribosomal RNA (bases 1-52)
Source: RNAcentral